Molecule: non-coding RNA, 666 nt
Organism: Gasterosteus aculeatus aculeatus (three-spined stickleback)
Lineage: Eukaryota; Metazoa; Chordata; Actinopteri; Perciformes; Gasterosteidae
Source: RefSeq, a predicted model, not a curated record
AAUGCUGAGCCCGUUCACCUCGGAGAAGAAGCAGCUGGUGAGCUUCUGCUCCCCAAGUGGAGAAGAACUCAGGAAGUUUGCAGAAGAGCUCAGAGAGGCGAUAACCGAGGUCAACGAGAUGGAGCAGAUACACAUCCAGUGGGAAUUGGAGAGGCAACAAGGCAUCCUGCCACAUGGCGUACACACCAAUGGCGGGCAAGUGGACACACACACAGGACAUGGCUCUCCCUCAGGGCAACAGGAUGCGUACGAUAAACCGGCAACAACAACACAGUAGAGGUGUCAAUUCACAACAGGCUGCAGACCUAUCAACUGAGCCAGCCCAGUAUUGAGUCGACGCCUCUGGCCCUGGCCGCGCCACCCGCCCUGCUCGGCUCUAUUCCGCCCGGAGACCUUCGCCCAGACACACUCAUCCAAUGCCAGCAGAUAGUCAAGGUGAUUGUGGUGGACCAGAGCGGGCGAGGGCGAAUGGAGGCCUUCCUCAGCCAAGGCCCGGCCGCCCACCAGCUCAUCCACUCGGCCAUGUCCACGCCCGUGCGGGUCAUAGAUGGGGGAGAUGGUCCUCAGCCUCCUCUGCCGCCUCCACCUCCACCAUACAACCACCCCCACCAGUUCUGUCCCCCGGACUCGCCCAUGCCCUUCCACCACCACCCUGCCCCUAACCCG